This 2127-nucleotide ribosomal RNA is filed under the name Salmonella enterica subsp. enterica serovar Stanley. RNAcentral's name for it is "partial 23S ribosomal RNA". It matches the Rfam family "Bacterial large subunit ribosomal RNA", at positions 1 to 2141 of the family's 2925-position model. The record is from RNAcentral. Lineage: Bacteria; Pseudomonadati; Pseudomonadota; Gammaproteobacteria; Enterobacterales; Enterobacteriaceae.
GGGUUGUGAGGUUAAGCGACUAAGCGUACACGGUGGAUGCCCUGGCAGUCAGAGGCGAUGAAGGGCGUGCUAAUCUGCGAUAAGCGCCGGUAAGGUGAUAUGAACCGUUAUAACCGGCGAUACCCGAAUGGGGAAACCCAGUGUGAUUCGUCACACUAUCAUUAACUGAAUCCAUAGGUUAAUGAGGCGAACCGGGGGAACUGAAACAUCUAAGUACCCCGAGGAAAAGAAAUCAACCGAGAUUCCCCCAGUAGCGGCGAGCGAACGGGGAGGAGCCCAGAGCCUGAAUCAGCAUGUGUGUUAGUGGAAGCGUCUGGAAAGUCGCGCGAUACAGGGUGACAGCCCCGUACACAAAAGCGCAUGUGUUGUGAGCUCGAUGAGUAGGGCGGGACACGUGGUAUCCUGUCUGAAUAUGGGGGGACCAUCCUCCAAGGCUAAAUACUCCUGACUGACCGAUAGUGAACCAGUACCGUGAGGGAAAGGCGAAAAGAACCCCGGCGAGGGGAGUGAAAAAGAACCUGAAACCGUGUACGUACAAGCAGUGGGAGCACAGGUUUACCUGUGUGACUGCGUACCUUUUGUAUAAUGGGUCAGCGACUUAUAUUCUGUAGCAAGGUUAACCGUAUAGGGGAGCCGGAGGGAAACCGAGUCUUAAUUGGGCGUUAAGUUGCAGGGUAUAGACCCGAAACCCGGUGAUCUAGCCAUGGGCAGGUUGAAGGUUGGGUAACACUAACUGGAGGACCGAACCGACUAAUGUUGAAAAAUUAGCGGAUGACCUGUGGCUGGGGGUGAAAGGCCAAUCAAACCGGGAGAUAGCUGGUUCUCCCCGAAAGCUAUUUAGGUAGCGCCUCGUGAAUUCAUCUCCGGGGGUAGAGCACUGUUUCGGCUAGGGGGCCAUCCCGGCUUACCAACCCGAUGCAAACUGCGAAUACCGGAGAAUGUUAUCACGGGAGACACACGGCGGGUGCUAACGUCCGUCGUGAAGAGGGAAACAACCCAGACCGCCAGCUAAGGUCCCAAAGUCAUGGUUAAGUGGGAAACGAUGUGGGAAGGCCCAGACAGCCAGGAUGUUGGCUUAGAAGCAGCCAUCAUUUAAAGAAAGCGUAAUAGCUCACUGGUCGAGUCGGCCUGCGCGGAAGAUGUAACGGGGCUAAACCAUGCACCGAAGCUGCGGCAGCGACACUGUGUGUUGUUGGGUAGGGGAGCGUUCUGUAAGCCUGUGAAGGUGUGUCGUGAGGCAUGCUGGAGGUAUCAGAAGUGCGAAUGCUGACAUAAGUAACGAUAAAGCGGGUGAAAAGCCCGCUCGCCGGAAGACCAAGGGUUCCUGUCCAACGUUAAUCGGGGCAGGGUGAGUCGACCCCUAAGGCGAGGCCGAAAGGCGUAGUCGAUGGGAAACGGGUUAAUAUUCCCGUACUUGGUGUUACUGCGAAGGGGGGACGGAGAAGGCUAUGUUGGCCGGGCGACGGUUGUCCCGGUUUAAGCGUGUAGGUGUGUGUUCCAGGUAAAUCCGGUUCACUUUAACACUGAGGCGUGACGACGAGGCACUACGGUGCUGAAGCAACAAAUGCCCUGCUUCCAGGAAAAGCCUCUAAGCAUCAGGUAACAUCAAAUCGUACCCCAAACCGACACAGGUGGUCAGGUAGAGAAUACCAAGGCGCUUGAGAGAACUCGGGUGAAGGAACUAGGCAAAAUGGUGCCGUAACUUCGGGAGAAGGCACGCUGACACGUAGGUGAAGUGAUUUACUCAUGGAGCUGAAGUCAGUCGAAGAUACCAGCUGGCUGCAACUGUUUAUUAAAAACACAGCACUGUGCAAACACGAAAGUGGACGUAUACGGUGUGACGCCUGCCCGGUGCCGGAAGGUUAAUUGAUGGGGUCAGCGCAAGCGAAGCUCCUGAUCGAAGCCCCGGUAAACGGCGGCCGUAACUAUAACGGUCCUAAGGUAGCGAAAUUCCUUGUCGGGUAAGUUCCGACCUGCACGAAUGGCGUAAUGAUGGCCAGGCUGUCUCCACCCGAGACUCAGUGAAAUUGAACUCGCUGUGAAGAUGCAGUGUACCCGCGGCAAGACGGAAAGACCCCGUGAACCUUUACUAUAGCUUGACACUGAACAUUGAGCCUUGAUGUGUAG